GGGGAGGUGGCCGAGUGGUCAAAGGCAGCAGACUGUAAAUCUGCCGGCAAUGCCUACGUAGGUUCGAAUCCUGCCCUCCCCA
RNAcentral lists this transfer RNA (82 nucleotides) under Candidatus Dadabacteria bacterium. RNAcentral's name for it is "tRNA-Tyr". It matches the Rfam family "tRNA". Rfam says of the family: Transfer RNA (tRNA) molecules are approximately 80 nucleotides in length. Their secondary structure includes four short double-helical elements and three loops (D, anti-codon, and T loops). Further hydrogen bonds mediate the characteristic L-shaped molecular structure. tRNAs have two regions of fundamental functional importance: the anti-codon, which is responsible for specific mRNA codon recognition, and the 3' end, to which the tRNAs corresponding amino acid is attached (by aminoacyl-tRNA synthetases). tRNAs cope with the degeneracy of the genetic code in two manners: having more than one tRNA (with a specific anti-codon) for a particular amino acid; and 'wobble' base-pairing, i.e. permitting non-standard base-pairing at the 3rd anti-codon position. Lineage: Bacteria; Pseudomonadati; Thermodesulfobacteriota; Candidatus Dadabacteria. The record is from RNAcentral.